GACGAACGCUGGCGGCGCGCCUAACACAUGCAAGUCGAACGAGCGAGCGAGAGCUUGCUUUCUUGAGCGAGUGGCGAACGGGUGAGUAACGCGUGAGGAACCUGCCUCAAAGAGGGGGACAACAGUUGGAAACGACUGCUAAUACCGCAUAAGCCCACGGUGCCGCAUGGCACAGAGGGAAAAGGAGCAAUCCGCUUUGAGAUGGCCUCGCGUCCGAUUAGCUAGUUGGUGAGGUAACGGCCCACCAAGGCGACGAUCGGUAGCCGGACUGAGAGGUUGAACGGCCACAUUGGGACUGAGACACGGCCCAGACUCCUACGGGAAGCAGCAGUGGGGAAUAUUGCACAAUGGGGGAAACCCUGAUGCAGCGACGCCGCGUGGAGGAAGAAGGUCUUCGGAUUGUAAACUCCUGUUGUUGGGGAAGAUAAUGACGGUACCCAACAAGGAAGUGACGGCUAACUACGUG
This 466-nucleotide ribosomal RNA is filed under the name uncultured bacterium. RNAcentral's name for it is "partial 16S ribosomal RNA". It matches the Rfam family "Bacterial small subunit ribosomal RNA", at positions 28 to 507 of the family's 1533-position model. The record is from RNAcentral.